UACGUAGGGAGCAAGCGUUGUCCGGAUUUACUGGGUGUAAAGGGUGCGUAGGCGGGCUUGCAAGACAGAUGUGAAAUCCCCGGGCUUAACCUGGGAACCGCAUAUGUGACUGCUUGGCUAGAGUGCGUCAGAGGGAGGUGGAAUUCCACGUGUAGCAGUGAAAUGCGUAGAUAUGUGGAAGAACACCGAUGGCGAAGGCAGCCUCCUGGGACGCAACUGACGCUCAUACACGAAAGCGUGGGGAGCAAACAGG
Molecule: ribosomal RNA, 253 nt
Filed under: uncultured Comamonadaceae bacterium
Lineage: Bacteria; Pseudomonadati; Pseudomonadota; Betaproteobacteria; Burkholderiales; Comamonadaceae
Description: partial 16S ribosomal RNA
Rfam family: Bacterial small subunit ribosomal RNA
Source: RNAcentral